Molecule: microRNA, 22 nt
Filed under: Flagellimonas flava
Lineage: Bacteria; Pseudomonadati; Bacteroidota; Flavobacteriia; Flavobacteriales; Flavobacteriaceae
Description: hvsa-miR-HSUR5-3p
Gene: hvsa-miR-HSUR5-3p
Source: miRBase by way of RNAcentral
UUACAGCAGUGAGAGCGCUGCU